This 600-nucleotide ribosomal RNA is filed under the name fungal endophyte. RNAcentral describes it as "eukaryotic LSU rRNA". The stretch from base 144 to 297 matches the Rfam family "5.8S ribosomal RNA". Lineage: Eukaryota; Fungi. The record is from RNAcentral.
UUACCGAGUGCGGGCCCCUCGGGGCCCAACCUCCCACCCGUGUUGCCCGAACCUAUGUUGCCUCGGCGGGCCCCGCGCCCGCCGACGGCCCCCCUGAACGCUGUCUGAAGUUGCAGUCUGAGACCUAUAACGAAAUUAGUUAAAACUUUCAACAACGGAUCUCUUGGUUCCGGCAUCGAUGAAGAACGCAGCGAAAUGCGAUAACUAAUGUGAAUUGCAGAAUUCAGUGAAUCAUCGAGUCUUUGAACGCACAUUGCGCCCUCUGGUAUUCCGGAGGGCAUGCCUGUCCGAGCGUCAUUGCUGCCCUCAAGCCCGGCUUGUGUGUUGGGCCCCGUCCCCCCCGCCGGGGGGACGGGCCCGAAAGGCAGCGGCGGCACCGCGUCCGGUCCUCGAGCGUAUGGGGCUUCGUCACCCGCUCUAGUAGGCCCGGCCGGCGCCAGCCGACCCCCAACCUUUAAUUAUCUCAGGUUGACCUCGGAUCAGGUAGGGAUACCCGCUGAACUUAAGCAUAUCAAUAAGCGGAGGAAAAGAAACCAACCGGGAUUGCCCUAGUAACGGCGAGUGAAGCGGCAAGAGCUCAAAUUUGAAAGCUGGCCCCCU